CAGUCGCCACGGUAAUACGGAGGGUGCAAGCGUUAUCCGGAUUUAUUGGGUUUAAAGGGUCCGUAGGCGGAUCUGUAAGUCAGUGGUGAAAUCUCACAGCUUAACUGUGAAACUGCCAUUGAUACUGCAGGUCUUGAGUAAAUUUGAAGUGGCUGGAAUAAGUAGUGUAGCGGUGAAAUGCAUAGAUAUUACUUAGAACACCAAUUGCGAAGGCAGGUCACUAAGAUUUAACUGACGCUGAUGGACGAAAGCGUGGGGAGCGAACAGGAUUAGAUACCCCAGUAGUCCCUGUCUCUUAUAC
RNAcentral lists this ribosomal RNA (301 nucleotides) under uncultured bacterium. Its description in RNAcentral is "partial 16S ribosomal RNA". It matches the Rfam family "Bacterial small subunit ribosomal RNA", at positions 509 to 807 of the family's 1533-position model. The record is from RNAcentral.